Molecule: non-coding RNA, 142 nt
Filed under: Candidatus Campbellbacteria bacterium GW2011_GWC1_35_31
Lineage: Bacteria; Candidatus Campbelliibacteriota
Also listed under: 2 other names
Source: RNAcentral
GCACGACGAUUUUCAAAAAACUUUUAACUUUAGAAACUUUAAAAACUUUAUAAACUCUUUUGCCCGUAGAGACUAAAUGUUGACCUCUGAUUUUUUAAAAAAUCAGACGAAGUUAUAGUCCGAUCCCGUUAGUAAUAACGGU